RNAcentral lists this ribosomal RNA (433 nucleotides) under uncultured bacterium. Its description in RNAcentral is "partial 16S ribosomal RNA". It matches the Rfam family "Bacterial small subunit ribosomal RNA", at positions 29 to 507 of the family's 1533-position model. The record is from RNAcentral.
AACGAACGCUGGCGGCAUGCCUAACACAUGCAAGUCGAACGAGACCUUCGGGUAUAUUGGCGCACGGGUGAGGAACGCGUGGGAAGCUGCCAUUAUGUGCGGAACAACUCCCCGAAAGGGGUGCUAAUACCGGAAAAUUUCUUCGGACCAAAGAUCUACCGCCAUCGGAGGGGCCGGCGUUGGAUUAGCUGGUUGGUAGGGUAAACGCCUACCAAGGUGGCGAUCCAUAGCUGGUCAGAGAGGAUUAUCAGCCACACUGGGACUGAGACACGGCCGAGACUAUUACGGGAUGGGGGCGAGGGGAAUGUAGGCAAGUGGGGGGAAUCAUGAACCAGCUAUGGCGGGUAAGUAAUGACGGCGUUGGGGUUGUGAAUCUCUUUUACACGGGAUGAUAAUGACGGUACCGGGAGAAUAAGCACCGGCUAACUCCGUG